CGCAGUUAUAGCUGUCAUUAUGUAAAGUGUUAUAGUAUUAAUUUGCUACUAUAAGUUUCAGUCACUACUCAUUUUAAUGUAGGCAACAUUUAUAACCCUGACUUUGGGGGAUCAAAGAUUUGACUAAGCUGCACCUACGUGGCAGUGAACAUGGACACGAAACUGUACGUGGAUCUUCAAAAUGAAACGAGCUGAUGAUUCACGACACUGGGAAAAUUUAGAAGAGACCGCUUGCAGCUGAGUCAAGGUCCGAGUCACGUAGUUGGAACAUUUUGUGCAGCUUCCGUCAUCACGCAGUCUCUGGCUGUGGCUUCCGUCCUCCUUCCAUCAUCACCCUAACAGCUUCGACGUCUUUUGCUGCUGUUUCUUCCUCUUCGUCAGAGUGACGUUUUUUGCUUGGCUCCUUUCCCCCUCCUACUCCCAUCUGCAUCAUCAAGUUCACAGUUUGACGUCCUCCCCUUUCUUUUUCCUGUCGCCAGCUGGUUUUUCCUUUCCUCCUCCUACUUCGUAGCUUUGUGCAGGCUCAAUUGCAGCCCUAAAGUUUGCGUCACCGGUUUUUGCUUGGCAUCUGGUGCAAGAUAGAUUCUCGAAGAAAGGGUAACCUGUAUCCUUUCAAGCUGCAAUUGAUUGUGAGGUUGCUCAUCCCUGGGGUUCUUCCAGUUCCUGAUGCAGAUACUUCCUUUUUGCAGAAGGAAAUGUAUGACUUCAAGUUUGGCUUAACCGAAAUAUGGCUUAUAAAUACACCUUCUAGGAAGGAUUUACAUAAGCUUUUCUCCUGUGUUUUUCUUCAGAUCUCUAUGGUGCUCACCCUUCACAAGACUUCUCCUCCGAAUGUUGUAUGUCAUUCAGUAAAGUUGAGGGUCAUAGUUUUGGUGACCAAAACAUCAAUUCAAAUUAUCCAAGGAUCUGUUGAAUCAUUUUUCUGGUGAGAAUGGCAUCCAUGAACUUGGACUAGGUUGAGACAUUUUUCAUUUAAAUGCUUUCCUAUUUGGAGUGAGGACAAAGUUUGACCAGCAGCCUCUCUUGGAGAAGAUCUUCAAGAAUCUGAUAAAAUGCCAUCAAAGAUGAUGACUCACGAAGCAAUUGGAAAGGUUCAAGGCACUGGCAUGCCAAAGCUGUUUAAGGAAAAUAUUAACGAAAAAAAAGACACUACAGCAAGUUUUCUGAAGAAGAAACCACCCUGGGCUUCCCUUGAGGGGCGGUUUUUUGGUUCUGAAUUUAUUGUGUUGAGUUAUAGAUGUGGCUGAGAUGUCUGGACUUCUUAAUCUAUUAUAGCUGUAGUAACCAAAGUUAUUUGAUUGAGUUGUGUUGCUGAGAUGUCUGGACUCUUUAUUCUUCUCAAGCUGUUAAUUAUGCUUUACAGGUUGUGUGUCUACUGCAUAGCAGCACACUAACCCAUCCUAUCGGACAUGUAUGUUUAUAAUUGAACAACUUAGAACAACUUAGUAUGAGGAUUUUCAUCUGUUCCUUCAGAAUCCAGUUAUCCAUUUUUUUUCUGCACUA
Long non-coding RNA from Lotus japonicus, 1503 nucleotides. RefSeq lists it as uncharacterized. The transcript is spliced from 5 exons. Lineage: Eukaryota; Viridiplantae; Streptophyta; Magnoliopsida; Fabales; Fabaceae. The record is from RefSeq and is a predicted model, not a curated record.